This 2114-nucleotide long non-coding RNA is filed under the name Homo sapiens (human). Its description in RNAcentral is "HSALNT0301264". Lineage: Eukaryota; Metazoa; Chordata; Mammalia; Primates; Hominidae. The record is from RNAcentral.
CAGGCUGGAGUGCAGUGGCGCGAUCUUGGCUCACUGCAAGCUCCGCCUCCCGAGUUCAAGCAAUUCUCCUGCCUCAGCCUCCCAAGUAGCUAGGAUUACAGGUGCCCACUACGACAUCUGGCUAAUUUUUGUAUUUUUAGUAAAGAAGGGGUUUCAUCAUGUUGGCGAGGCUGGUCUCGAACUCCUGACCUCAUGAUCCGCCCGCCUCGACUCCCCAAAGUGCUGGGAUUACAGGCAUGAGCCACUGAGCCUGGCUGUGUUUUUCUUUCUCAUUGCAGAGACAAAGCGGGUUACUUCUGGUUCAUUCACGCAUCCAAGUCCUGACAUGUCUCAAGGGCAUUACUGUGCUUGUCAGGGAGGGAGGGCCCAGUCCAUCCUCUGGUUAUUCCCAUCCAUCCCCUAGGCCUUCCCUUGGCUCACCCUGCCCCCUGCCAGGCCCCUUUGCUUGCUGGCCUGACGGGGCUGGGUCUCUGUGGCUGGAGGAGAUGGCCUCUGCCCCACCCCCCUCGACUGUCCUGGGCACAAAGGAGAACAGCUUUGCCUGGAAAGGGCCCAAGACACCCUGAGAAACUUGUAGCGAUGGGACCUGCCUCCUGCAGCCCUCCACCUGCGUCAUCCUUCCUGUGCCCUCCUUGUCUACACCAGGGCCAUGCGGUCACCCCUGAGGGCUCUAAUGUUACUAGGCAAAGGCCUGAGUCUGAGCAGGACAGGGUGGGGCAAGCUCCAACCCAAAGUCUACUCUAUUAUCAGGAGAAGCUCCAUGCUAUCCAGAGGACCCCGACACACACCCCAAGCCAAUUUCCCUUCAUCCCCAGGAAAGUGUGCCACCAACUGAGGAGGAAAUGUAUCUGCUUCUCUUCCUAGCACUCCCGUGAACUCAACCAGGAAGAUACUGCUGUUUGGCUUUAAAAAUAGUACAUUCUAGCUGGACUUUUAUGGUCUUGUGAAGAACACUGUGCUCAUGCCCUCCCACACCUGGCCUCUGCCCCUGCCUGGCCCUGUCCAGCUGCCCACAUCAGCUCUGCACAAGCUCUUCAGGGUCCCUCUGCAGAGACGUGGUUCAAGGCAGAUUUACGAGUUCAGCCUUGGCCGAGGCCUUCUCCCCAUGGCUCCCAUCCACAUUCCAGCUGUUCUCCCACAUCCCAGGCAGCUCGGGGCUGGGAUGUUCUGUGUCUCUUUUUCUACCUCUACCACAACUGGCUCAGUCGCACCCCCAGCCCUAUUUCAGCUCUGCCCUGGCCAGCCCUGUGGAGGUACAGGGUCCUGUCAUGCCAGAACCCAGACCCCAACCAUUCCCAGCCUGCCCAGAGCUCACUUACAUUCAUGAUAACAACAAUGGUGUGUGUCUAAGGAUAACCUUGUUGGGACUCUAGUUGGUCAUGCCCGUCCCCUCCCACUCUGAAGGGCUGAAAUUUAACCGAAAGGUAAUUUGUUCCAUCUGGACUUCAGGUGCCAGGUUUGAGGCUACAUCCGAUCUGGAAAGUUAUUUUCAGUGUGUGUAGAUUCUAUGAUUAGUCCUCAAGUUAUUUCUUUAGGGCCAGAGAUGAGUUUCACCGAAGCUAUAUCACAUUUCUGGCACCCCAUGGUAGGACUUAGAGAAAGCCCCCAAGGACGAUCUCCAUGAGGCGGAGCCGGCCCUAGGGAGCUAAUAGACUAUAGAAAUAACUCCAGAGCCAGGGAAGCCUCGAACACAAAUUUUACAAGGAGCCAAUUGAGUGGUUGAGCAGUUGAAGGCAGGCCUAUCUUGUUUUUGCUUGAGGGCAGGUUUCUAACAUAAUGGAAAGAGAAGACUGUAAUGAUCACCCCCUAUAUACCUGAUCUUCUCUUAAGGUCCUUCAAGGAUGUAAUUGAUUCUGUCAAUAUCCUUCAUAUUUAAGGCCAUAAGUUGCUGCUUGGUUCAAUUAAGGUAGAAUUGCUUCUGGUUAAGAUCUCAAACUAGGCAUCUGGGACUAUCUAAAAGUUUCUCUGGAAACUGGAAUGUAAGCAAUGCAAGAUGUAUGGCUUAACCUGUAGAUAUAACUCAUGUCAAGAAAACAGUGGGGUUGGGCAUGGUGGCUCAUGCCUGUAAUCCCAGCACUUUAGGAGGCUGAGGUGGGAGGAUCACUUGAGGCCAG